CGGUGCCUUGUUGUGGUGCCGUGCGCCUUGGUAACCCUGCCUAGGCUGGGAUUAGCCGUGCUGUGGGUGCCGGCUCGUUUCGGUUUCCUGACUGGUUGGUAACCAUUUUUUCCCUCUGGAUUUGUGUAUAUUCCUUGGCCUUGGCUCUCGUCUUUGUGCUAUCUUUUCUUAAUACAACGAGAAUGCUCUUUUUUGGGGGGGCUUUAGACAAGUGUAUGAGGCUUUCCCUCCUUUAUUGUAUGUGUUGUGUUGGUGCUCAGCUGAUGGCCUCAGAGCGGGGGAAAAAAUUAAACGAAGCUACUGUGGUCUUUUUCCUUUUCAGGAGUCACUUAAUAAAAUGGAUGGCACAAUACAAGCAGUAAGGAAGAGAUCUUCUCUUUGUAGGGUUGCUCAGGAAUCUGCUUCUAAUGCUGUGAAGGUUUGAUGCCCUAAAACAGAAGCCAUAGAAUGAGUAUGGACUGGUGUAGGGGCAAAAUCAUUAUUUUCUAAUCAUGUUUCAUUGAAGGCAACGAAAAAAACCGGCUUUGGGCAAAAUAUCCAUAUCUCUUGUGGCAAAGAUCCAGGAGGCAGCCACUUCUGCUGCAGGUUAGAAUUCAGAUUCACGUGGAAGCACUUGACUCCCAAAGCUGUGUCUUCAACCAGCAGAUAGGCGAUGCGUGAUAGAAUUGGCAGAAUUGCACUGCUCUGAGCACUUUUGGAGACAUAUGCUGCUUUUCCCACUCCUGGAAGUAGUCCCACAGAUGUCUCAUGAUUAUUCGCUUGAGUCAUGGCUGCAGAGUUGACUUUUUGGUAGUUUGGAUUCCCAGAUUCCUACACUGCAUGUUUAAUAGCAGAGCAAAUUCUGACUGAAGACCUGUCCGGUUGAACACAGGGAGGAUGCGUUUAACCAAAACCCAAUAUUUUGAACGUACGCUAAAUCGCCUCCUGGCUUAGAACGCUGUUUGGUGAAAAUGAGACCUCUCCAAGGAGAAGGAGACGCCGAACGAGGCGAAC
Sturnus vulgaris (Common starling) is the source of this 993-nucleotide non-coding RNA. The record is from RefSeq and is a predicted model, not a curated record. NCBI's taxonomy places the organism in Eukaryota, Metazoa, Chordata, Aves, Passeriformes, Sturnidae.